GGGUUGUGAGGUUAAGCGACUAAGCGUACACGGUGGAUGCCCUGGCAGUCAGAGGCGAUGAAGGACGUGCUAAUCUGCGAUAAGCGUCGGUAAGGUGAUAUGAACCGUUAUAACCGGCGAUUUCCGAAUGGGGAAACCCAGUGUGUUUCGACACACUAUCAUUAGCUGAAUCCAUAGGUUAAUGAGGCGAACCGGGGGAACUGAAACAUCUAAGUACCCCGAGGAAAAGAAAUCAACCGAGAUUCCCCCAGUAGCGGCGAGCGAACGGGGAGCAGCCCAGAGCCUGAAUCAGUGUGUGUGUUAGUGGAAGCGUCUGGAAAGGCGCGCGAUACAGGGUGACAGCCCCGUACACAAAAAUGCACAUGCUGUGAGCUCGAUGAGUAGGGCGGGACACGUGGUAUCCUGUCUGAAUAUGGGGGGACCAUCCUCCAAGGCUAAAUACUCCUGACUGACCGAUAGUGAACCAGUACCGUGAGGGAAAGGCGAAAAGAACCCCGGCGAGGGGAGUGAAAAAGAACCUGAAACCGUGUACGUACAAGCAGUGGGAGCACGCUUAGGCGUGUGACUGCGUACCUUUUGUAUAAUGGGUCAGCGACUUAUAUUCUGUAGCAAGGUUAACCGAAUAGGGGAGCCGAAGGGAAACCGAGUCUUAACUGGGCGUUAAGUUGCAGGGUAUAGACCCGAAACCCGGUGAUCUAGCCAUGGGCAGGUUGAAGGUUGGGUAACACUAACUGGAGGACCGAACCGACUAAUGUUGAAAAAUUAGCGGAUGACUUGUGGCUGGGGGUGAAAGGCCAAUCAAACCGGGAGAUAGCUGGUUCUCCCCGAAAGCUAUUUAGGUAGCGCCUCGUGAAUUCAUCUCCGGGGGUAGAGCACUGUUUCGGCAAGGGGGUCAUCCCGACUUACCAACCCGAUGCAAACUGCGAAUACCGGAGAAUGUUAUCACGGGAGACACACGGCGGGUGCUAACGUCCGUCGUGAAGAGGGAAACAACCCAGACCGCCAGCUAAGGUCCCAAAGUCAUGGUUAAGUGGGAAACGAUGUGGGAAGGCCCAGACAGCCAGGAUGUUGGCUUAGAAGCAGCCAUCAUUUAAAGAAAGCGUAAUAGCUCACUGGUCGAGUCGGCCUGCGCGGAAGAUGUAACGGGGCUAAACCAUG
Molecule: ribosomal RNA, 1158 nt
Filed under: Escherichia coli
Lineage: Bacteria; Pseudomonadati; Pseudomonadota; Gammaproteobacteria; Enterobacterales; Enterobacteriaceae
Description: partial 23S ribosomal RNA
Rfam family: Bacterial large subunit ribosomal RNA
Source: RNAcentral